Molecule: long non-coding RNA, 277 nt
Organism: Acipenser ruthenus (sterlet)
Lineage: Eukaryota; Metazoa; Chordata; Actinopteri; Acipenseriformes; Acipenseridae
Exons: 3
Source: RefSeq, a predicted model, not a curated record
ACACUAGGAGGGGUGGAGCAAUGCUGGGCAGUGAAGUUAGCCAUAUAGGCCAGGCCAUCAAAAUGGCAAUGCCGAUGCCCUGCCUCACAAGCCAGCUUCUUGAAGACGAGGUAGAGGGUCCCGCGUUUGUGGAGGUCCCGACAGCAACUACCCAGAUGUGUUGCAUGGCCGCUGGGGGACCUACCUAAUCUUCACCUACCUCUGCAGAAGAAUGCAUUGGAAGAACUCAUACAAAAGUUAGAUGUGGACAGGGAUGACAACACUGACUACAUGUGCG